UUGGAGUGGCUAGAGUUGACUAAAAAUUAUGGACGCAGUGAGACCUACAAAACAAGUCCUGGAUAGAGUUGGCUCUGACGAGAUCCUCUGAUGGCCAAGUCAGAAAGCUAGAAUAGAUAAGGAGUGCGAGAGAAAGAGAGGGUGCGAGUACCUAUGUACCUGGAGGGUCCCUUUUUGACCCCUAUUUAUAGAGAGACGAGAGUCAUAAUGGAAAAGUAAUAGGAGACUAUUUCGGCUUUUCUAACUGUACCACUC
RNAcentral lists this long non-coding RNA (255 nucleotides) under Elaeis guineensis (African oil palm). RNAcentral's name for it is "long non-coding RNA (EGUI_LNC059890)". The record is from RNAcentral. Lineage: Eukaryota; Viridiplantae; Streptophyta; Magnoliopsida; Arecales; Arecaceae.